UUUUUUUUUUAUCUAGAUUGUAUUUUGAUCCUUAGAUGUUGCAUCUACAGCCAGAAUAAAUUCCAUCCUUCUAUACAUGCUACAUUUAUUAUGAGCUAUACUAGCAAUUUAUCAAGAAUCAGGUAUGGAUCAGCACAGGUGGUAAGUAAAGCAAAAUCAUCUUUAGAGUCUAAAAACAAAGCAAAGAUCUAACUGUGAAUAAGUUGCACAAAGUUAUUGGACCACUCGCAGGAUUAAAUGUAUAUGAUGGCUUUCUUUGUCAGCC
Non-coding RNA from Pelobates cultripes (western spadefoot toad), 265 nucleotides. The record is from the annotation of a GenBank genome assembly. NCBI's taxonomy places the organism in Eukaryota, Metazoa, Chordata, Amphibia, Anura, Pelobatidae.